UCAAGUGACUAAGUGCAUGCGGCGGAUGCCUUGGCGAUCACAGGCGAAGAAAGACGCGGCAGCCUGCGAAAAGCUGCGGGGAGCUGGCAAACGAGCUUUGAUCCGCAGAUAUCUGAAUGGGGGAACCCACACCGCAAGGUGUAUCCGUAGCUGAAUACAUAGGUUACGGAGGCGAACGAGGAGAACUGAAACAUCUAAGUAUCCUCAGGAAAAGAAAUCAACCGAGAUUCCGGCAGUAGCGGCGAGCGAACCCGGAGGAGCCCAGCUUUUGAUAGUACGAACUUUAGCCGAAAGGUCCUGGAAAGGCCUGCUAUAGUGGGUGAUAGCCCCGUAGGCGAAAGAGUUGGUACGGUACUAAGGAAGCGAGAAGUAGAGCGGGACACGUGGAAUCCUGUUCGAAGACGGGGGGACCAUCCUCCAAGGCUAAAUACUCGUGAUCGACCGAUAGUGAACCAGUACCGUGAGGGAAAGGCGAAAAGAACCCCGGGAGGGGAGUGAAAUAGAACCUGAAACCGCAUGCAUACAAACAGUAGGAGCCUCAUCAGAGGUGACUGCGUACCUUUUGCAUAAUGGGUCAGCGACUUACAUUCUGUGGCGAGCUUAACCGAAUAGGGGAGGCGCAGCGAAAGCGAGUUCGAAAUGAGCGUCCAGUCGCAGGGUGUAGACCCGAAACCAGAUGAGCUAUCCAUGGCCAGGUUGAAGGUGUGGUAACACACACUGGAGGACCGAACCGACUAGUGUUGCAAAAUUAGCGGAUGAGCUGUGGAUAGGGGUGAAAGGCCAAACAAAUCUGGAGAUAGCUGGUUCUCCCCGAAAACUAUUGAGGUAGUGCCUCGUGUGUCGCUCCAGGGGGUAGAGCACUGUUUUGGCUAGGGGGACAUGGAGUCUUACCAAACCAAGGCAAACUCCGAAUACCUGGAAGCGUGAGCACGGGAGACAGAGCACCGGGUGCUAACGUCCGGACUCAAAAGGGAAACAACCCAGACCGCCGGCUAAGGUCCCAAAUAACAGCUAAGUGGAAAACGAAGUGGAAAGGCCGUGACAACCAGGAAGUUGGCUUAGAAGCAGCCAUCCUUCAAAGAAAGCGUAAUAGCUCACUGGUCGAGUCCUUCUGCGCGGAAGAUGUAACGGGGCUAAGCUGUUAACCGAAGCCGCGGAUGCACUGGUAAUCCAGUGCGUGGUAGGGGAGCGUUCUGUAAGUCUGCGAAGGCGGUUCGAGAGGACUGCUGGAGAUAUCAGAAGUGCGAAUGCUGACAUGAGUAACGUUAAAGCAGGUGAAAAGCCUGCUCGCCGUAAGCCCAAGGAUUCCUGCUCUACGUUCAUCGGAGCAGGGUGAGUCGGCUCCUAAGGUCAGGCCGAAAGGCGUAGCCGAUGGGAAUCAGGUUAAUAUUCCUGAACCUGCGUCAGAUGCGAUGGGGGGACGGAGCAUGGAAGAUCAUCCGGGUGUUGGAAGUCCCGGUUGUUGAGCGUAGGAGGUCUGCAGGCAAAUCCGCAGACGCAUCUCCAAGGCAAAGACACGUGCCGCCACGGCGGCGAAGUGAUCGGAAGUGCUUCCAAGAAAAGCCUCUAAGCUUCAGUCUGAUGCGGACCGUACCGCAAACCGACACUGGUGGGCGAGCUGAAUAUGCUCAGGCGCUUGAGAGAACUCGGGAGAAGGAACUCGGCAAAUUGACACCGUAACUUCGGAAGAAGGUGUGCCGUAGUACCGUGAGAGGAGAGACACCUUGAGCGGGAAACGGUCUCAGAGAAUAGGUGGCUGCGACUGUUUAUUAAAAACACAGCACUCUGCAAAGUCGAAAGACGACGUAUAGGGUGUGAUGCCUGCCCGGUGCUGGAAGAUUAAUUGAUGGGGUGAGAGCCCUUGAUCGAAGUCCCAGUAAACGGCGGCCGUAACUAUAACGGUCCUAAGGUAGCGAAAUUCCUUGUC
RNAcentral lists this ribosomal RNA (1927 nucleotides) under human gut metagenome. RNAcentral's name for it is "bacterial LSU rRNA". It matches the Rfam family "Bacterial large subunit ribosomal RNA", at positions 3 to 1973 of the family's 2925-position model. The record is from RNAcentral.